GUUCGACUCGAGCGAAGCGAGAGAACGUUGCGUCAGCAACGGCCCGCAGGGCGAGCCACGAAGUGGUGAGUCAUCCUCUAUCACCGACCA
Molecule: small RNA, 90 nt
Filed under: Klebsiella pneumoniae
Lineage: Bacteria; Pseudomonadati; Pseudomonadota; Gammaproteobacteria; Enterobacterales; Enterobacteriaceae
Also listed under: 1 other name
Description: partial RtT sRNA
Rfam family: RtT RNA
About the family: This family represents a bacterial cis-regulatory element known as RtT RNA. The exact function of RtT is unknown although it is thought that it may be involved in changing the cellular response in relation to amino acid starvation.
Source: RNAcentral